This 301-nucleotide ribosomal RNA is filed under the name uncultured bacterium. RNAcentral's name for it is "partial 16S ribosomal RNA". It matches the Rfam family "Bacterial small subunit ribosomal RNA", at positions 509 to 807 of the family's 1533-position model. The record is from RNAcentral.
CAGUCGCCACGGUAAUACGGAGGGUGCAAGCGUUAAUCCGAAUUACUGGGCGUAAAGCGCACGCAGGCGGUUUGUUAAGUCAGGUGUGAAAUCCCCGAGCUUAACUUGGGAACUGCAUUUGAAACUGGCAAGCUAGAGUCUUGUAGAGGGGGGUAGAAUUCCAGGUGUAGCGGUGAAAUGCGUAGAGAUCUGGAGGAAUACCGGUGGCGAAGGCGGCCAUCUGGGACAACACUGACGCUGAGGCACGAAAGCGUGGGGAGCAAACAGGAUUAGAUACCCCGGUAGUCCCUGUCUCUUAUAC